GAGUUUGAUCCUGGCUCAGGAUGAACGCUAGCGGCAGGCCUAAUACAUGCAAGUCGAACGGUAACAUUGGUGCUUGCACCAGAUGACGAGUGGCGCACGGGUGCGUAACGCGUAUGCAAUCUACCUUUUACUAGAGUAUAGCCCAGAGAAAUCUGGAUUAAUCCUCUAUAAUAUCUUUUAAUUUCAUGAUUUUAAGAUUAAAGUUUUAACGGUAAAAGAUGAGCAUGCGUCCUAUUAGUUUGUAGGUGAGGUAACGGCCCACCUAGACUACGAUAGGUAGGGGCCCUGAGAGGGGGAUCCCCCACACUGGUACUGAGACACGGACCAGACUCCUACGGGAGGCAGCAGUAAGGAAUAUUGGACAAUGGACGAAAGUCUGAUCCAGCCAUGCCGCGUGCAGGAUGAAAGCCCUACGGGUUGUAAACUGCUUUUAUACAGGAAGAAACACUCCGACGUGUCGGAGCUUGACGGUACUGUAAGAAUAAGGAUCGGCUAACUCCGUGCCAGCAGCCGCGGUAAUACGGAGGAUCCAAGCGUUAUCCGGAAUCAUUGGGUUUAAAGGGUCCGCAGGCUGUUUUUUAAGUCAGAGGUGAAAUCCUACAGCUCAACUGUAGAACUGCCUUUGAUACUGAAAAACUUGAGUUAUUGUGAAGUGGUUAGAAUGUGUGGUGUAGCGGUGAAAUGCAUAGAUAUCACACAGAAUACCGAUUGCGAAGGCAGAUCACUAACAAUAUACUGACGCUCAUGGACGAAAGCGUGGGGAGCGAACAGGAUUAGAUACCCUGGUAGUCCACGCCGUAAACGAUGGAUACUAGCUGUUCGUCUAACAUUGGUUAGAUGAGUGGCUAAGCGAAAGUGA
This 859-nucleotide ribosomal RNA is filed under the name uncultured bacterium. RNAcentral describes it as "bacterial SSU rRNA". It matches the Rfam family "Bacterial small subunit ribosomal RNA", at positions 9 to 860 of the family's 1533-position model. The record is from RNAcentral.